Long non-coding RNA from Bactrocera dorsalis (oriental fruit fly), 3508 nucleotides. RefSeq lists it as uncharacterized. The transcript is spliced from 2 exons. NCBI's taxonomy places the organism in Eukaryota, Metazoa, Arthropoda, Insecta, Diptera, Tephritidae. The record is from RefSeq and is a predicted model, not a curated record.
CAUUUUAGCUGACUAAUUACAUAGCCAUCCGUUUGAUUGAAUAUAUAAUAUUGAUGCCAGUUAAUGGAAUCGAUGGUAUGUGUGCGACAGUAAACAGCUAUAUCCGAUAUUCCUCGUUUCUUUCCAAGGGGCUUCCUCAUUUCUCAUAAAGGGUGAUCCAUUUCGAGAUUCACUAAUUUUUAAAGAAAAAACAGAAACUUCCAAUUUAUUGGGGAAUGUUUAUUAUCAUUCCAAAGUGCAUUAUUUGGCAUUUAUAUUUUGAAGAUUAUCUCUUUCAAAUGUUGGCCGCAUCAAAACGUGAAGUUAUCUGCUCCACGAAGUGUUCUCUCAAUAAAUUCAUUGAUUGAUGCGAUGUGUGGGAAGUGGCACCAUCUCGUUGAAACUAACACCCCUAUCAUGCAUUUCGAUUACAUUCCCGCUCUACGCUCCGCCGGAUUCGAAAUUAGAUAUCAUGCGUUACGAUUGGAUUGAAAGAAGAAGAGGAAGAGCUAUAACUCUUUCGAAAUCAGCUGUUUGCUUUGAAAUAUGUGAAACUGGAACAUAACAAAGCAAAAAUACACAAAUUACUGCUGUUCAAAGAAAAUAAAUAAAAGUAAAAUUUUUAUAUUGUUAUUAUUUUUAUUAAACGUAACUAUGGAAUCUUUAUCCGCGGCGAUAUUACUGGUUGAGGAGGAGAGCAGCGCAUCUCAGAAUGCUGGGGUGAGAAUUGAAAGGAGAAGAUUAGGAGAUAUGUGCGAUCCCUUCCAGAUGAAUGACGGGCUAUUCAGAAAAACUUUCGCCUGAAUAAGGACACAUGUCCUAUAUACGUUUGCGGAAGAAACUACGGCAAGUAAAUUUGAUGCUACCUCUUUCCAAAAAGCCUGCACAUCUUCCUUAGGACGCUGGUGGAAACCGUUGGCUAUAUCUAGCUUACUCUCCAUCAUAUCUGCCAAUUUUCCAUAUUGCUCUGGUGUUGUUGUUUUUGACCUGAAAGCAUAUCAAAAAACAUCACUAAAACUGGAAAUGUCGUGUGUUUUACAACUCUUAAAUACAAGUUUUACUUACAUUUUUAGAAAAUUAAAAAAAAAUCACGCAAAUAAUAAAAACAAAUUCUCAGCAAAAUAAAAACACAAAAAGUUCUCCGCCAACAAAAUUGCAAUUUAGCAAAACGGAGCUACGAUCGAAAUGCAUGAUAGGCAGAAUUGUAAAUUUCGAAGUUGAACUGAACGGGAACGGAACGCAUGAUACCAAAGUCGCCAAACGGAGAAAAUUUCAAUCCAAGUCGAAAUGCGUGAUAGGGGUGUAAUUGUGCCGAUAUCUUGAGUUUCAAUUAAUCGGUUAUCAUGGCACGAUAAAGGUCGCGCUUGACGUUUACGUUCUCACCGACAUCAGUUUUGAAGAAAUAUAGACCGAUUAUUACGGCCUACAAACCACACCAAACUGUUGCGUUUUUCUGAAAGAAAUUAAAUCUAUUCAGGUUGCUCUUUGUCCCAAAUGCAUAAAUUUAGAUUGUUUACAUACUAGAAAUGGGCAUCAUCACUGAACAAAAUUUUGCUCGAAAAGGAUAAACUAUAGUGAAGUGAUGUCGCUUGAGAAGGUCGAUGGGCUUCAGUUCUUGCGUAAACUGUGUUUCUGAUUUCAAGUUAAGAACUCGACGGAAAACGCGAACGGCGCCUAGUUGACACUCUACGGUCUUGAUGUAAACUUCCGACUAUGGCUGCUAUAUUUUCUUCAAUGUAUGCUUAUCGUGGUCUAUUGGGUUGAAUAUUAUACAAUAACGAAUUCUGGUGUAAGUCAUUCCAUGAAGAUAUGCCAACUAAUACAGGACGGCUUGGCACGACUCACGCGUGAUCUGUCAGAAUGGGCUAUUGAAUCAUCCGUUACAACAGCGAUACGAACCUUCAGUCGUAUCGAAAUAUAACAUUAUAGGAUCUACUCUUCUCACGGCAGUCGAGUCUAAGGAACGGGAACGGGACUUUUAUCCGGUUAAGGACCUUCAACUCUGAGCCUACCGUUAGUGGAUUCUGGUGACAUCCAACUUGUAUCUUACCAUUCAAGCGGAAACUAUGCAACCACUACAAAAACAGCAACAGUUGUCAUCUAAUUUUCAAAUACGUGUAAAUUUUAGAAUAGUAUACCCCGAUUUCGGAGUUACAAUGGAUAUGUACGGAUAGAGGAGAUCCUCCAGAUCAAGAAAAUAUAUACUAUAUUGGGUAGUUGAAAAAGUUAAAUUUUAACAGUUGUUUAAAUGAGUUAAGCAUCCACCCACUCUACGCGGAAAAACGGGCGCACACUAAUAAGAAAGCUUAGUUCACCACAGCUGAUACCACUCAACACAACUCAACCCCCCUCCACAUCAAUCAACGCACAUAACAAAAAGGCUGGAAAAAAGGAUUGCGGACACAUUCGAUCUAUACAAGCUGCACAUUUACAUUCAUUUUUUGAUACACUUUCCGGUUGUAACACCCAUCCCGCGCGCAGCAUCAACGUCCGAAUCUAUACUGCGCCGUGUCAAGACUACCUUUUGAUCUAAUCGACAUCGUUGCCCCCGCGCCGACAUAUAGCAUUGUAGAACAUUGGGCUGUACUUCGAUACCAACACCCUUUUAUAAUAUAUGUAUAUAAUAAUACGAUAAUUCAGUCGCAACCGAGUUGUCAAACCGUACGGUCGCAUUUUUCUUUUUCUCUCGCGGUCAUUCUAGUGGUGUCUGUGUUAUAACGCUACUUUACAGUUUUGCACAAAUAACUUUUUUACUGUUAAUUUCUCGCUGUAUUUAUUUCUUAUUGUUAACUGGUGCUACAUUUAUAAAUUUUUGCAUACAUAAAAAGUAAUAUUUUCACAAUGCCCCCUGGGGCCAAUAAUCUGGGUGAUAAUAGGUUUGCCCUAUUAUCCUCAGCCCAGAAGACUAAAAGAAAAAAGCCUGAGCAAACAACGUUGGAACUAUUUCCGGAACUCUCCAUUACAAAGAAGGAUGACCCCAAAUACCUCGUCAUUAAGUCGCGGGAUGCCAGUAAACCCAUCACUUCCAUCUCCUGCUUCGCGACUUAUAAAGGUAUUCAAUCUAUCAGUAAAGAUAUUAACAACGUCUCGUCACUUCGCGAUGGCAGCCUACUCCUCCUUGUAAAAAAUCAAAAAAUUGCCGAUAAAUUCCUUUCUACUAAAAAUCAGAGAACGUCUAAUAUAGAGAAGGUUCAAUUGCGGACCAGCGUGUGAAUUGUCAAAAGCUAACAAAAUCCUAUUAGUGGAUUUCACCACUUUUGGCUCGGCAGGGGAAACAUUAACAGUGAUGAGCGAACAGAGCUGAGCAUUCAAUGAAAAUUAUGCUCAGAAAUAUACAUUGCUUUUACAGACGAAUGUUGGCCUUUUGGCUUAUAUUUUUAUACGUUUACAUGCUAUCAUAUCAAUUGAUAUGAAUAUGAUUUUGCGAAUUUUUGUGAAUUCAUGCAAAAUUGAUAAAUUUUUAUUAAAUUAUGCUAUUUUCAUGGUAACAUUUGUAGUUAAUGUCCAAAUAAAAGCUACUUUUUUAAUA